CCUCAAGCCUGAGGGGCUAUAGUUCAGUGAACCACACCACCUCAAACGCGUCACAUUCCACCAAUCACGGGGGCCUGUUGCGAUCACGUGCGUUGUGUGUACAAAACAAGCCACUGCUGCCGUGUCCUGUUAUUGAAAAACUGGGAGCAGAAAGAUUGCAAUCGCGAUCAUGGCUACCGACGUCGAGAGCCUUGAUGUUUUCGAGCGCGAUCAUUAUGACCAGUAUGACUAUUACAACCUGAACGAGUACGAUCGCGGCACAGGAGGGAAGGGCAGGACCAAGAAAGAGAUCGAGCUGAACGGAAACCGCCAUGUCCCCGCUGGGCAUGAGAGAAAAAUCGUCGAGAAGCUGCACAACAGCGAGACGAAGAGAAGGAGGAGCAGGAGUUCCUCGAACUGACAGCCAGGCCUACCUGCCUCCUUCAGGAAGAUGACGACGACGACGACGUGUGAUCCUUUAACUGUUCCUCGGUGUUUUACAUUCUAUUGUCAUAUGGAAGACUGCACAGCUUAGCCUUUUGCUGUCUGCUCUCCAGUACUUUAGGUCAUAUGUGGGACACAAAAGCACCUCCACAUGGAUGUUCUACAUUUGCAUUUUUUUACAGUGGUGUAAAGAAUUGUUAUCUGAUGUACUGUAACUUAAACCGAGUUAUCCAUUUGGCAUGGGCCAGUUCUGUACUGGUUUUGGUAAUCGUCUUUUUACAGUUUGGCACGGUUUUUGAUUGUGAAUGCAACAAUAAUGUUGUGCCUGCUUUUACAUAAAGAAUAUUUUAUGCCAAUAAAUGAAGAAUUAAUA
Long non-coding RNA from Spea bombifrons (plains spadefoot toad), 796 nucleotides. RefSeq lists it as uncharacterized. The transcript has 2 exons. The record is from RefSeq and is a predicted model, not a curated record. NCBI's taxonomy places the organism in Eukaryota, Metazoa, Chordata, Amphibia, Anura, Pelobatidae.